Molecule: small RNA, 404 nt
Filed under: Arabidopsis thaliana (thale cress)
Lineage: Eukaryota; Viridiplantae; Streptophyta; Magnoliopsida; Brassicales; Brassicaceae
Description: ATSL052740
Source: RNAcentral
GAAUAUAUACCCUUAAACCAUGUAAUUAAUUAUACAAUGUUUCACUAACUGCUACGUGCGAAAUUAGGUUCCAUUGAUGUAUAUAUAUGAACAAGUGGAAAAACGGUAUAUUUCUCUACGAGAAGUAUCACAUCACGCCAAAUAGAGCCUAAACUUCAACUCCGGUCUACAUAUCCAUAAAAUAAAUGUUUUCAACCUAUUUGUCCCCGAAACGUAAGUUGUACAGCUAAAUCUCCCCGAAUUAAUACUUCGAGAUCUAUUAACCCAUAUAUCUGGGUUUUAACGGUUUAAUGUACAGCAAUUCAGUUUUAACCAUCUUAAAACAAACUUUAACCAAAACUAAACCAAAAUUAUCAAAAAUUAACCCGAACCGGCCGACCCAUUAACGAUACGACUUCUUCUUC